Small nucleolar RNA from Sphaerodactylus townsendi, 83 nucleotides. RefSeq annotates it as small nucleolar RNA SNORA17. The record is from RefSeq and is a predicted model, not a curated record. NCBI's taxonomy places the organism in Eukaryota, Metazoa, Chordata, Lepidosauria, Squamata, Sphaerodactylidae. The transcript has a single exon.
GCUGCCUCUGAAGUCUAUAUUGGAGGCAGCAGGUGGCAGAGAGUUGAAUGCUGGGUUCAAUUUCAUCAUGCCCAGCAUUCAGC